GACGAACGCUGGCGGCGUGCUUAACACAUGCAAGUCGAACGGAAAGGCCCUGCUUUUGUGGGGUGCUCGAGUGGCGAACGGGUGAGUAACACGUGAGUAACCUGCCCUUGACUUUGGGAUAACUUCAGGAAACUGGGGCUAAUACCGGAUAGGAGCUCCUGCUGCAUGGUGGGGGUUGGAAAGUUUCGGCGGUUGGGGAUGGACUCGCGGCUUAUCAGCUUGUUGGUGGGGUAGUGGCUUACCAAGGCUUUGACGGGUAGCCGGCCUGGGAGGGUGACCGGCCACAUGGGGACUGAGGUACGGCCAAGACUCCUACGGGAGGCAGCGGUGGGGAAUAUUGCACAAUGGGCGGAAGCCUGAUGCAGCAACGCCGCGUGCGGGAUGACGGCCUUCGGGUUGUAAACCGCUUUCGCCUGUGACGAAGCGUGAGUGACGGUAAUGGGUAAAGAAGCACCGGCUAACUACGU
This 467-nucleotide ribosomal RNA is filed under the name uncultured bacterium. Its description in RNAcentral is "partial 16S ribosomal RNA". It matches the Rfam family "Bacterial small subunit ribosomal RNA", at positions 28 to 506 of the family's 1533-position model. The record is from RNAcentral.